This 468-nucleotide ribosomal RNA is filed under the name uncultured bacterium. RNAcentral's name for it is "partial 16S ribosomal RNA". It matches the Rfam family "Bacterial small subunit ribosomal RNA", at positions 28 to 507 of the family's 1533-position model. The record is from RNAcentral.
GACGAACGCUGGCGGCGUGCUUAACACAUGCAAGUCGAACGGAAAGGCCCUGCUUUUGUGGGGUGCUCGAGUGGCGAACGGGUGAGUAACACGUUAGUAACCUGCCCUUGACUUUGGGAUAACUUCAGGAAACUGGGGCUAAUACCGGAUAGGAGCUCCUUCUGCAUGGUGGGGGUUGGAAAGUUUCGGCGGUUGGGGAUGGACUCGCGGCUUAUCAGCUUGUUGGUGGGGUAGUGGCUUACCAAGGCUUUGACGGGUAGCCGGCCUGAGAGGGUGACCGGCCACAUUGGGACUGAGAUACGGCCCAGACUCCUACGGGAGGCAGCAGUGGGGAAUAUUGCACAAUGGGCGGAAGCCUGAUGCAGCAACGCCGCGUGCGGGAUGACGGCCUUCGGGUUGUAAACCGCUUUCGCCUGUGACGAAGCGUGAGUGACGGUAAUGGGUAAAGAAGCACCGGCUAACUACGUG